Molecule: ribosomal RNA, 513 nt
Filed under: uncultured bacterium
Lineage: Bacteria
Description: bacterial SSU rRNA
Rfam family: Bacterial small subunit ribosomal RNA
Source: RNAcentral
UUCUGGCUCAGGAUGAACGCUAGCUACAGGCUUAACACAUGCAAGUCGAGGGGCAUCAGGGUCUGUGCUUGCACAGAUUGCUGGCGACCGGCGCACGGGUGAGUAACGCGUAUCCAACCUUCCCCUUAGUAGAGGAUAGCCCGGCGAAAGUCGGAUUAAUACUCUAUGUUGUUCGAUGCGGACAUCUAAGUUGAACCAAAGGUUUACCGCUAAGGGAUGGGGAUGCGUCUGAUUAGGUAGUAGGCGGGGUAACGGCCCACCUAGCCAACGAUCAGUAGGGGUUCUGAGAGGAAGGUCCCCCACAUUGGAACUGAGACACGGUCCAAACUCCUACGGGAGGCAGCAGUGAGGAAUAUUGGUCAAUGGACGAGAGUCUGAACCAGCCAAGUAGCGUGCCAGGAUGACGGCCCUAUGGGUUGUAAACUGCUUUUAUGCGGGGAUAAAGUGAGGGACGUGUCCCUUAUUGUAGGUACCGCAUGAAUAAGGACCGGCUAAUUCCGUGCCAGCAGCCGC